This 496-nucleotide ribosomal RNA is filed under the name uncultured bacterium. Its description in RNAcentral is "partial 16S ribosomal RNA". It matches the Rfam family "Bacterial small subunit ribosomal RNA", at positions 29 to 507 of the family's 1533-position model. The record is from RNAcentral.
AUGAACGCUGGCGGCGUGCCUAAUACAUGCAAGUCGAGCGAACGGACGAGAAGCUUGCUUCUCUGAUGUUAGCGGCGGACGGGUGAGUAACACGUGGAUAACCUACCUAUAAGACUGGGAUAACUUCGGGAAACCGGAGCUAAUACCGGAUGAUAUUUUGAACCGCAUGGUUCAAAAGUGAAAGACGGUCUUGCUGUCACUUAUAGAUGGAUCCGCGCUGCAUUAGCUAGUUGGUAAGGUAACGGCUUACCAAGGCAACGAUGCAUAGCCGACCUGAGAGGGUGAUCGGCCGCCUUGGAACUGAGACACGGUCCAGACUCCUACGGGAGGCAGCAGUAGGGAAUCUUCCGCAAUGGGCGAAAGCCUGACGGAGCAACGCCGCGUGAGUGAUGAAGGUCUUCGGAUCGUAAAACUCUGUUAUUAGGGAAGAACAUAUGUGUAAGUAACUGUGCACAUCUUGACGGUACCUAAUCAGAAAGCCACGGCUAACUACGUG